RNAcentral lists this ribosomal RNA (459 nucleotides) under uncultured bacterium. RNAcentral describes it as "partial 16S ribosomal RNA". It matches the Rfam family "Bacterial small subunit ribosomal RNA", at positions 338 to 795 of the family's 1533-position model. The record is from RNAcentral.
CCUACGGGAGGCAGCAGUGAGGAAUAUUGGUCAAUGGCCGGAAGGCUGAACCAGCCAAGCCGCGUGAAGGACGAAGGUGCCAAGCAUUGUAAACUUCUUUUGUCAAGGGACAAAAUCAGGCUCGAGAGCCUGACCGAGGGUACUUGAAGAAAAAGCAUCGGCUAACUCCGUGCCAGCAGCCGCGGUAAUACGGAGGAUGCGAGCGUUAUCCGGAUUUAGUGGGUUUAAAGGGUGCGUAGUGGGACUGUUAAGUCAGCGGUAAAAGCCCGGGGCUCAACCCCGGCGGGCCGUUGAGACUGGCUGUCUUGAGAUGUCGAGAGGUAUGCGGAAUGCGCAGUGUAGCGGUGAAAUGCUUAGAUAUUGCGCAGAACUCCGAUUGCGAAAGCAGCAUACCGGCGGCGAUCUGACGCUGAGGCACGAAAGCGUGGGUAUCGAACAGGAUUAGAUACCCUAGUAGUC